GCACUGGAGAGCUCAGUUGGUUAGGGCCUGGUGCUGAUAACGUCAAGGUUGCAGGUUCGAUCCCUGUAUAGGACA
Molecule: transfer RNA, 75 nt
Filed under: Podarcis lilfordi (Lilford's wall lizard)
Lineage: Eukaryota; Metazoa; Chordata; Lepidosauria; Squamata; Lacertidae
Description: tRNA.Ile
Rfam family: tRNA (bases 10-67)
About the family: Transfer RNA (tRNA) molecules are approximately 80 nucleotides in length. Their secondary structure includes four short double-helical elements and three loops (D, anti-codon, and T loops).
Source: RNAcentral